RNAcentral lists this ribosomal RNA (274 nucleotides) under uncultured bacterium. RNAcentral's name for it is "partial 16S ribosomal RNA". It matches the Rfam family "Bacterial small subunit ribosomal RNA", at positions 523 to 796 of the family's 1533-position model. The record is from RNAcentral.
AUACGGGGGGGGCGAGCGUUCUCCGGAAUCAUUGGGCGUAAAGGGUGAGUAGGCGGGAUGGUAAGUCAGAGGUGAAAGUCCAGGGCUCAACUCUGGAUCUGCCUCUGAUACUGCUGUCCUCGAGUGCGGGAGAGGGAAGUGGAAUUCCCGGUGUAGCGGUGAAAUGCGUAGAUAUCGGGAAGAACACCAGUGGCGAAGGCGGCUUCCUGGCCCGCAACUGACGCUGAAUCACGAAAGCGUGGGGAGCAAACAGGAUUAGAUACCCUAGUAGUCC